GAUUCUGGCUCAGGAUGAACGCUAGCUACAGGCUUAACACAUGCAAGUCGAGGGGCAGCAUUGGGAUAGCUUGCUAUUCAGAUGGCGACCGGCGCACGGGUGAGUAACGCGUAUCCAACCUUCCUGCCAGUAGGGAACAGCCCGGCGAAAGUCGGAUUAAUGCCCUAUGUUCUUCAAUGCGGACAUCUAAGUUGAAGGAAAGAUUCAUCGCUGGCAGAUGGGGAUGCGUCCGAUUAGCUUGCCGGCGGGGUAACGGCCCACCGGGGCGACGAUCGGUAGGGGUUCUGAGAGGAAGGUCCCCCACACUGGUACUGAGACACGGACCAGACUCCUACGGGAGGCAGCAGUGAGGAAUAUUGGUCAAUGGGCGUAAGCCUGAACCAGCCAAGUAGCGUGCAAGGAUGACGGCCCUACGGGUUGUAAACUGCUUUUAUGCGGGGAUAAAGUGCGGCACGUGUGCCGCUUUGCAGGUACCGCAUGAAUAAGGACCGGCUAAUUCCGUGCCAGCCGCGGC
This 514-nucleotide ribosomal RNA is filed under the name uncultured bacterium. RNAcentral describes it as "bacterial SSU rRNA". It matches the Rfam family "Bacterial small subunit ribosomal RNA", at positions 15 to 518 of the family's 1533-position model. The record is from RNAcentral.